GGCAUACUGCUUAGUAACACGUGGUUAACCUGCCCUAAGGUGAAGAAUAUUCCCGGGAAACUGGGGCUAAUACUUCAUAGUGGAUAUAUCCUGGAAUGGUGUAUCCUCGAAAGAUCCGUCGCCUUAGGAUGGGACUGCGUCCGAUUAGGUUGUUGGCGGGGUAACGGCCCACCAAGCCAUUGAUCGGUACGGGUUGUGGGAGCAAGAUCCCGGAGAUGGAUUCUGAGACAUGAAUCCAGGCCCUACGGGGCGCAGCAGGCGCGCAAACUUUACAAUGCGAGCAAUCGUGAUAAGGAAACCCUGAGUGCCUGUCGAUGCAGGCUGUUCAUAUAUCUAAAUCAUAUGUGAAGAAAGGGCAGGGCAAGACCGGUGCCAGCCGCCGCGGUAAUACCGGCUGCUCGAGUGAUGGCCACUAUUACUGGGUUUAAAGCGUCCGUAGCUUGACUGUUAGGUCCCUUGGGAAAUCUUCACGCUCAACGUGAAGGCGUCUAAGAGAUACCGGCAGUCUUGGAACUGGGAGAGGUAAACCGUACUUCGGGGGUAGGAGUGAAAUCUUGUAAUCCUCGAGGGACGACCUAUGGCGAAGGCAGUUUACCAGAACAGCUUCGACAGUGAGGGACGAAAGCUGGGGGAGCAAACGGGAUUAGAUACCCCGGUAGUCCCAGCCGUAAACAAUGUGCGUUAGGUGUGUCGGUAACCACGCGUUACUGAUGCGCCGAAGAGAAAUCGUGAAACGCACCACCUGGGAAGUACGGUCGCAAGGCUGAAACUUAAAGGAAUUGGCGGGGGAGCACCACAACAGGUGGAGCCUGCGG
RNAcentral lists this ribosomal RNA (815 nucleotides) under uncultured archaeon. RNAcentral describes it as "bacterial SSU rRNA". It matches the Rfam family "Archaeal small subunit ribosomal RNA", at positions 80 to 900 of the family's 1478-position model. The record is from RNAcentral.